Drosophila montana is the source of this 813-nucleotide long non-coding RNA. RefSeq lists it as uncharacterized. The transcript is spliced from 5 exons. The record is from RefSeq and is a predicted model, not a curated record. Lineage: Eukaryota; Metazoa; Arthropoda; Insecta; Diptera; Drosophilidae.
CUCUUCCAGAUCGGGUCCCGGUUUCGGACCCAGCGUGCCCGCCCUACCUGAGACGAUCACUUGAUCUCGUCUCCCUCAUUUUGGCCACUAGAUGGCCUGCUGCAGCCCGUGUCGGCUGUUAUGGCCCCUCUCCCCAUCAAGUUAAACUUAGCCGGACAUUUCUCUCUUCAGUAGGUAUCUCCAUUCAGUUAAUUACGUUAUCAUGCACGUGAACAUUUCUUCACCAGAAUGCAUUUUAUUUAAUUUAACAACCUUAAAUGGAACAGGCGACGAAACACUGCAAAGUUAUUGCUAGUCGCCGCAAAAAGAAAAAACAAGAAUGCAAUUAUGAGGCAAUCGUGUCACCUAUUUAGGAACAGUGUAGCCACGCAAAUACUUAUAACCGGGUAUGUCACGAUAAUCAGUCGUGCAACAGGUAGUUGAUAUAUAUAUAUAUUAAAUCGCUUAAUUCUUCCUUACCCUACCUGAAGAGCUCUCUGGGGGUGGUAAGGGACGAUAGAAAGGGGUAAUUCAAGUUAGGCGGAUAUGCAUAACCUUUCGCACUCUAAAGUGGAGCUUGGCGUAAGUGCCUAUGGAGCACAAUCAGGAGUCAACGUCUGACUCUGCCAAAUCCUGGCCUUUGGGGUGACUUCGUGGGCCUCUCUGUUGCGAGAGCUGGUCCCGUCGUUGCCGGAGCCGUUUAUUUUGUUAAUAGUCUUAUGAUUUUUGUUUGUUCGUCUCGUGUCGCACGUAAGUUUUAAGUUUUUCCAAAUUUGGUAUAUUUUGACACAAUGUUUAAAUUUAGAUUUUAUUAACAAACGGCACAGAAUAUAA